CUUGAAAUGAAGAAGAAUGAGCACUAAGUUAGAAAAAUGGGGCAAAUCAUGCAGAAAUACAUCAGAGUUCAGUGGAGGUGUUGGAAGUAGAUAAUAGGAAUGAUCUGGGAGGUUUUGUGAUGGGAAUAUUGCCAAGCUGCAAAUAUGCUAUAAAUGUCUCAGGGACUGAGGCACACAGGAUAUAAACCUUUUGAAAAAGAACAGAUUUCAUGGCUCUGCUACUCUGAGAACAAUGUGUUUACUGGGAAUGUUGGACUAAAACUGAAUUUCUUCAUCAACAGCUAUCGUCAGUGUGUGCUGUGUUGUAAGUGGGCAGGGGACUUCUGCCUGCAUUAAAUUAAGGAGUGUAGUGUUAGGAAUUGUUUCCUUACUCGGGAUGGCGUCACUCCAAGCCUCAAGGAUGAUGCUCUGAGGAGACACUGAAGAGCUGUGAAGAGCUGGGAGGUGGCAGGUACAGGGGGGAGCAGCUCCUGGCUUCCCUGGAGCAUCCCCCUGAAGCUGACAUUUAUGAUGACUGCUGAAUCAUGCACAGAAACUCUCAUAGAAGAGAGAGCAAAGACUUCCUCAGACAGUGCUCAGCAGUGAUGGAUGCUUGAAUGGACUUUCCUGGCUGCUACUGCAGAGAAGGCUCAGGACAUGUUUCCACAAGGAUGCUUCCCAAUGGUUCUACAAAUCCUGCUGUGCACCCCACCCAAAGCCCCACUGAGGAGGGUCACUGCUGAUGAGGGGGGGCACAGCUCCAGCUCCUUUGCUCCUGAGCACUUUCUGCUGCUGGCUUUGCCUCUCUACCUGCUGUUUAUAAAUGUUUUACAGAAUCUGCUUCCUUGAAACCAAAGUGAAGCAACAGCUGUGUUUGCAUCAAGUUGCAACAUCUCCUUGCUGGAUGGAGGCACAUCUUGUCACAAGUGGCGCUGGUAGCAAAAACUCAGUGAAAGAACCUGCCUGGCUGGGAGCUGCUCACUCCUCUGAGGGGAGCUGGAGACACAAUUUCACUUGGUUUCUUUAAAGAAAGAGCUGAACUCCACCCAAGGUCAAUGAACUGAAGUUUUAGUAAACCUAGACCUGAAUUUGUGAGAAUUUAGGCCAAUAGGUGGGUUCUAGUGAAAACUAAGUCAGACUUUGGAUGCAAACUAGCAGAGCUUUCUGAUUUUGAGCACCUCUCGAGGAUUCAGUGAAGCCAGGAAGUCCUCAAGUUUCAUCUGAAUCCUAAAGUCAAGAAAACUCUAAUAUAAAAUGCUGCUUUGAUGAAACUCAGAGCACAAAUGUCGUAAAAUAUGCAUCACUGAGCAUCUUUAAAAUUAUAAUGCAAUGACUUUAGACUGCUUUCAGAUCCAACUGAGCCAUGCUUAAAGUAGUGUACUUGGUACCAAAGUCCAGUAAAUGAUUUAUAUUCUUAUAUAU
This 1401-nucleotide long non-coding RNA is filed under the name Parus major (Great Tit). Its description in RNAcentral is "lncRNA (ENSPMJG00000002623.1)". The record is from RNAcentral. Lineage: Eukaryota; Metazoa; Chordata; Aves; Passeriformes; Paridae.